This 1876-nucleotide non-coding RNA is filed under the name Handroanthus impetiginosus. Its description in RNAcentral is "bacterial SSU rRNA". It matches the Rfam family "Bacterial small subunit ribosomal RNA". The record is from RNAcentral. Lineage: Eukaryota; Viridiplantae; Streptophyta; Magnoliopsida; Lamiales; Bignoniaceae.
AAAGCUUGAUCCUGGCUCAGAAGGAAUGCUAUCUAUAUGUUUAACAUAUGCAAGUAGAAUGUUGUUUUCGAGGAGUUGGGCAAAAGAAAAAGCGGCUCCUAGCUAAAAGUAGCUUCUCUUGCCUAAGAGGUGAAAAGAGUUGAGAACAAAGUGGCGAACGGGUACAUAAAGCGUGGGAAUCUGUUGAACAGUUCGAGCCAAAUCCUAAGGAAAGCUAAAAAGCGCUGUUUGAUGAGCCUGAGUAGUAUUAGGUAGUUGGUCAGGUAAAGACUGAUCGAACCAAUGAUGCUUAGCUGGUUUUUUCAGAAAAUCAGCCACACUGGGACUAAGAUACGGCCCAAACUCCAGGAGUGCAGCAGUGGGGAAUCUUGGACGAUGGGUGAAAGUUUGAUCCAACAAUAUUACAUGAGUGAAGAAGGGUAAUGCCCACUUGUAAAACUCUUUCAUCGAGUGUGUGAUCAUGACAAGACUGAAAAAGAAGCCUCGACUAACUCCGUGCCAGCAGUUGCAAUAAGACGAGGGGGCAAAUGUUCUUUGGAAUGACCGGGCGUAAAAGGCACACACCAAAAACUGGCAGAAUCUCACGAAACCAAUUUACUUGAGUGAGAUAGAGGAUAGUGGAAUUUCGUGUGUAGGGGUGAAAUUCGAAGAUCUAUGAAGGAACACCAAAAGAAAAGGUAACUCUUUGGAUCCCUAUCGAUGCUGGGGUGGAAAAGCAUCGAGAGCGAACAAGAUUAGAUACCCUGGUAGUCCAUGCCAUAAACGACAAGUGUUCACCCUUGGUCUACAUGAAUCAGGGGCCCAGCUAACACGUAAAACACUCUGCCUGGGAAUACAAUCACAAGACCAAAACUCAAACAAAUUGAUAGGGGCUUGCACAAGCGGUGGAGCAUGUGGUUUAAUUCAAUACAACGCGCAAAACCUUGCCAGCCCUUGACAUAUGAACAACAAAACAUUUCUUUAACAGGAUGGUACUUACUUCCAUAUAGGUAUUGCAUGGCUAUCAUAAGCUCAUGUCAUGAGAUGUUCGAUCAAGUCCUACAACAAGCAAAACCCUCAUUUUGUGUUGCUAAGACAUGCACCUAACGAGAAAGUCUUUGCAACCAAAGUGAGCUAAAGAGCUGAGUGAAGUGCUAGUGUUACUAAUUGAGUGCUAGCAUAUUGCUGUGCUGCCAAUAUUAAGGUAGCCAGUGUUUUUCGAAGCACUUUCUAGUUAGCGCUUUAGUUUGAUUGCAGCUAGCGCGCUUGACUAAUAAGAUAGAAAGGGCUUUUCUCGCUUGUUUAGUAAAGUCAAGGUUUGGACCAACUCUUGCAAGUGACAACUAUGCCAAGUUGACAGCAGAGAAAGACUCGGCAUUCAGGAGAUCUGGCCAGUGGUAUGGUACAUAGUGGGUUUAGUAGACCCCACCAAAACAGCUCCAAAGGAAAAAAAAAGGUAUAAAUCGCACUCACGAAGGACUGCCAGUGAUAUACUGGAGGAAGGUGGGGAUGACGUCAAGUCCGCAUGGCCCUUAUGGGCUGGGCCACACACAUGCUACAAUAGCAAUUACAAUGGGAAGCAAGGCUAUAAGGCAAAGCGAAUCUGGAAAGAUUGCAUUAAUUAGGAUUGUUCUUUGCAACUCAGAAGCAUGAAGUUGGAAUCGCUAAUAAUCGUAGAUUAGCAUGUCGUGGUGAAAAUGUACACAGGCCCUGUACAUAUCACCAGUCACAGCCUGGGAAUUAGUUUCACCCGAAGCAUCAGACCAAUAAUCACCCAUGACUUUUGUGUCACACUAGUGCCACAAAGGCUUUUGGUGGGCUUAAUGGUGCAUACCACGGUGGGAUCUUCGACUGGGGUGAAGUCGUAACAAGACAGUCGUAGGGGAACCUAUGGUUG